RNAcentral lists this ribosomal RNA (492 nucleotides) under uncultured bacterium. RNAcentral describes it as "partial 16S ribosomal RNA". It matches the Rfam family "Bacterial small subunit ribosomal RNA", at positions 29 to 507 of the family's 1533-position model. The record is from RNAcentral.
AGUGAACGCUGGCGGUAGGCCUAACACAUGCAAGUCGAACGGCAGCACAGUUAGUGCUUGCUCUUACGGGUGGCGAGUGGCGGACGGGUGAGGAAUACAUCGGAAUCUACUUUUUCGUGGGGGAUAACGUAGGGAAACUUACGCUAAUACCGCAUACGACCUACGGGUGAAAGCAGGGGAUCUUCGGACCUUGCGCGAUUGAAUGAGCCGAUGUCGGAUUAGGUAGUUGGCGGGGCAAAGGCCCACCAAGGCGACGAACCGUAGCUGGUGUGAGAGGAGGAUCGGCCACACGGGAACUGGGACACGGUCCAGGCUCCUACGAGAGGGAGCAGUGGGGAAUAUUGGACAAUGGGCGCGAGCCUGAUACAGCCAUACCGCGUGGGUGGAGAAGACCUUCGGGUUGUAAAGCCCUUUUGUUGGGAAAGAAAAGCAGCAGGUUAAUACCCCGCUGUUCUGACGGUACCCAAAGAAUAAGCACCGGCUAACUUCGUG